RNAcentral lists this ribosomal RNA (464 nucleotides) under uncultured bacterium. Its description in RNAcentral is "bacterial SSU rRNA". It matches the Rfam family "Bacterial small subunit ribosomal RNA", at positions 330 to 792 of the family's 1533-position model. The record is from RNAcentral.
UCCAGACUCCUACGGGAGGCAGCAGUGAGGAAUAUUGGUCAAUGGGCGGAAGCCUGAACCAGCCAAGUCGCGUGAGGGAAUAAGGCCCUACGGGUCGUAAACCUCUUUUGUCGGGGAGCAACGAGGCCACGUGUGGCCGAAGUGAGAGUACCCGAAGAAAAAGCAUCGGCUAACUCCGUGCCAGCAGCCGCGGUAAUACGGAGGAUGCGAGCGUUAUCCGGAUUUAUUGGGUUUAAAGGGUGCGUAGGCGGAACAUUAAGUCAGCGGUAAAAUCGAGGGGCUCAACCCCUUUAAGCCGUUGAAACUGGUGAUCUUGAGUGGGCGAGAAGUAUGCGGAAUGCGUGGUGUAGCGGUGAAAUGCAUAGAUAUCACGCAGAACUCCGAUUGCGAAGGCAGCAUACCGGCGCCCGACUGACGCUGAGGCACGAAAGCGUGGGGAUCGAACAGGAUUAGAUACCCCAGUA